CGUAACCCACCAUUCCAUAAUUUUCUCAGUCUUCCCCACUCCCUCAGUUUCCUCAUUCUCUAACAUUCAAAGUACUCUCUCCAUAGACCAAACCAACGCCUCUUCAUUUUAAAUCAGUCAAUAUAACCUCUCCUUAAAAUUCAAUCACCAUUAACACAUUUGGUUUCACAAAGCUUUAAGAAUUCAUACAAAAACAACACAGCUGACGAGACCGCCCCAGCCACCGUCAACUUCCGAUUCCGCCACCACCAACGGCUUGCCUUGCCCGAAUCCGCCUCCGUUUUUCAAUUUCUCACAAAGCCGACAAUGCAAUGAGCAGCGAAGAAAUUUUGGGCACCCAAGGAUAAAAGAAGAUCGAUCAUGCUUUUGCCUCAUGAAUUGAUUAUACAAAUCUUAGUGAAGUUGUCGGUAAAGUCUCUUCUACGUUCCAAGUCUGAUUGUAAGUUGUGGUUUUCUUUUAUUUCUCAUGAUUCCCAUUUUGCAUAUUCACAUUCUCAAAUUAACUCUAACACACUCGUAGAAUUCUUUUGAUAGAUUUUUAAAGAUUACCCCUGCAGUUUUGGGGCUAAUUGACUAUUAGCCAAUUACUUUUACUCUAAUUAUAAAUAAAAUAGUAAUUGAAAUAUUAUAACUUUCAUUUUAAUUCAACAAACAAAAAUAUUAAUCAUUGUUCUUAUUUCAAACGUAAAUUGGAAGAUGACAUAGAAUUGGAAAAGUAGAUAAAAUCAACCCUUUACUGGUGAUAUUCUCUCCACUACAUUCUAUGUUUCCUCACUACCAAAGAGACCAAUGGAACAACCUUACUCAUCUUUGUCAAUUUUGUGACAAUAUCACUUUUACUAACCUUUUCGUUGAUAGCCUUAAUUCUAGUCACAGAUUUAAUAAGUUUGUCAACUCCGUUUUGGCGUUUAUUUGGACUCACAUUCAAUCAACCUCAAGUUUAUUAUGGUAGACUUCAUUUGACUUUCCAAAAAUUGUCAAAUGGCUCAAUAUUGUUGUUCAAUGUCAAAUGAUAGCCGUUGACACGGAAAAACAAUAUUGAGUCAUUUGACCAUUUUUGGAAAGCCUAGUCGAAAAACAAAAUAAAGGUUACUAUAAGAAACUUCGAGAGUUAACAAGUAUUGAAUGUGAGUCCGCAUCAUCUCUCAAAGCCAAAACAUAGUUGACAGACUUGUUAAAUCUACGACUAGAAUUAAGGCUAUAAACGACAAUGUUAGGGAAGGUGAUACUGUCACAAAAUAUCUAAAGAUGAGACCAUCUCUUGCUCAAUACGGCCUCUAUGGUGGUCAGCUUUUGCAAUUUUACGUUGUCUUCCCAUUUACUCUUGUUUCCGAAGGGAAUUAGAACAAUGAUUAGGGUUUUUGUUUGUUUAAUUAGAAUAAAAUUUUGUAACUCUAAUCUUUCACUUAUUAUUUUAUUUAUAAGAGCAAAAAUAAUUGGCUAAGAGUUGAUUAACUCUACAACUCAACUCAUGAAGAAUCUCUAUCCAUAGAUUUUGAAGCAUCACUUGACGAUGACAAUGCUUCUUUUUCACUCAACCUUCCAGGGGAUUUUACAGGCUUUCAAAUUAGAGGGUAGUGUAGAGGUUUCAUACUUUUCUACAGUUCCUUAAACAUCUACCGAAUCCAUCCAUUGGAGAUUAUAAACAAAUACUUUAUCUCCUUUUGGUUCCAAUUUAGACGUUGGAUAUUUCUAUGGUUUUGGGUAUGAUGAUUCAACCCAUGAUUAUUUGGUUGUUUCAAUGUCUCGCCUGGAGUUCUUCUCAUUGAAAUCUAAUAUAUGAAAAGAAGUUGGGGUCCUUACUUCCCUUAUACCUUCUAGGAGUAUGAGCUCAAAGGUGGUUUGCUCUAUAAGGGAGCUAUUCAUUGGUUGGCUUAUCGUUAUGAUUUACAAAGUGAUGUUAUUGUUGCAUUUGAUUUAAUGGAAAUGAAACUUUUAUAUAUGAUUUUGCAUUGUUAUGGUAAUCCUUUGGAUAGUGGUUUGUGGAUAUAUGGAGAAUUUCUCAGCGUAUACACUUUGAGUUAUAGUAAUGAUCCAGUUGAAUUAUGGGCGAUGAAAGAACACAAAAUGGUGCAGAUGGAUUGGUGAAGUACGAUAAAAGUGGACAGUGUCUGGAGCAACAUUCUUAUCCAAAUUACGACCUUAGAUGUGAAUUGACUAUCUUUAGUGAAGGCAUCCCCAAAGUUGCAAAAAUGGAACAUGGCCAUGAGUUCCUUCUUCUUUCUUUUUGCUUUUGAACUCUUCAUUCUCAAAUUCUGAUUUUGUAGGAUAAAAGGAUAGAAAGUGCAUCCAAACAAGUUUUUAUGUCAUUAACUAGAAAUGGCUAGUUA
Molecule: long non-coding RNA, 2330 nt
Organism: Vicia villosa (hairy vetch)
Lineage: Eukaryota; Viridiplantae; Streptophyta; Magnoliopsida; Fabales; Fabaceae
Exons: 3
Source: RefSeq, a predicted model, not a curated record